GACUCUUAGCAGUGGAUCACUGGGCUCGUGCGUAGAUGAAGAACAAAACUAGCUGUGAGAAUUAAUGUGAAUAGCAGGACACACUGAUCAUGGACACUUCAAAAGCACUUGCUGUCCCCGGUUCCUCCUAAACCUAUGUUUGCCUGAGUUGGG
Mesocricetus auratus (golden hamster) is the source of this 153-nucleotide ribosomal RNA. It matches the Rfam family "5.8S ribosomal RNA". Rfam says of the family: 5.8S ribosomal RNA (5.8S rRNA) is a component of the large subunit of the eukaryotic ribosome. It is transcribed by RNA polymerase I as part of the 45S precursor that also contains 18S and 28S rRNA. The record is from Ensembl. NCBI's taxonomy places the organism in Eukaryota, Metazoa, Chordata, Mammalia, Rodentia, Cricetidae.